This 401-nucleotide long non-coding RNA is filed under the name Spirodela polyrhiza (greater duckweed). Its description in RNAcentral is "long non-coding RNA (SPOL_LNC002478)". Lineage: Eukaryota; Viridiplantae; Streptophyta; Magnoliopsida; Alismatales; Araceae. The record is from RNAcentral.
AAAAUGGCUUGGUAUAGUAAGUGAAAGUGUACUGGGAAACGCAGGUCUCAAUCCACCUGUCGCAUUGAAUGUCGACUGCAGUGUUGACCGUUGAUGAGACAGUGGAUGACUGUGAUGACUAGGGCACGAGCGCCGACUGGCCUCUCCAUGUGACAGGUGGAGAUGGUGACAGCAGUGGCAUGGCAGGAGACGAUGAUGGCAACACGGUGGCAGAGCGGCAGUGAUGAAGAGAUCGUCUCCUUGCUGGAAGAGAGCAAUGUCGGCGGCAGUGACGAAGAUGAAGAUAGAAUGCCCAACUCAAUGGCAGUGGCUUGGAAGCUGCCAGAAAGUUCCAGAUGCAGCGAAUGGGAGGUUGCUGGAGAUUUCCAGAAGCAGGAUGAUAUAGGCUGCCAGAGGUUUUC